RNAcentral lists this ribosomal RNA (632 nucleotides) under uncultured bacterium. Its description in RNAcentral is "bacterial SSU rRNA". It matches the Rfam family "Bacterial small subunit ribosomal RNA", at positions 85 to 749 of the family's 1533-position model. The record is from RNAcentral.
UCCUGAGUAAGUGGCGCACUGGUGAGUAACACGUGGGUAAUUUACCUUCUUGUGGGGAAUAACCCUGGGAAACUAGGGCUAAUACCGCAUACGUCCGAGAGGAGAAAGCCGCAAGGCGCAGGAAGAGAAGCCCGCGGCCGAUUAGCUAGUUGGUGAGGUAAUGGCUCACCAAGGCGACGAUCGGUAGCCGGCCUGAGAGGGCACACGGCCACACUGGCACUGAAACACGGGCCAGACUCCUACGGGAGGCAGCAGUGGGGAAUCUUGCACAAUGGGGGAAACCCUGAUGCAGCGACGCCGCGUGAACGAUGAAGCCCUUCGGGGUGUAAAGUUCUUUCGACGGGGACGAUAAUGACGGUACCCGGAGAAGAAGCUGCGGCUAACUACGUGCCAGCAGCCGCGGUAAUACGUAGGCAGCAAGCGUUGUUCGGAAUUACUGGGCGUAAAGAGUGCGUAGGUGGUUGGCUAAGUUUGGUGUGAAAUCUCCCGGCUUAACUGGGAGGGUGCGCCGAAAACUGGUUGACUAGAGUGUGGGAGAGGGACGUGGAAUUCCUGGUGUAGCGGUGAAAUGCGUAGAUAUCAGGAGGAACACCUGCGGUGUAGACGGCGUCCUGGACCAUGACUGACACUGA